UAUUCCCUAUGUUGUACUUUUCAUCUCUGUUCCUUAUUUAUUUUGUAACUGGAAGUUUGUACCUCUUAAUCACCUUUACUUAUUUUGCCCAUUCCCCUAACCCCCUUCCUUCUGACAAUUAUCAAUUUGUUCUCUAAAUAAGUCUGUUUCUGUUUAUUAUUUCAGAUUCCACAUACAGAUGAAAUCAUGUGGUAUUUGUCUUUUUCCAUCUGAUUUAUUUCACUUAGCUAAUACCCUCUAUGUCGAUUCAUGUUGUCACAAAUAGCAAGAUUUCAUUCUGUUUUAUGUUCUCACUGGCUCAUCUACACUUCUGUCAAGUCCAGUAGGUCAGCUAUGUAUCCUAGUCUUAAAAGUAGUAGCCUUGUGUAGAAGAGGUCCUGUGGUCCUGUAGUACAAUCCCCUCUGGUCACCCAAACAAAGUGCCGGUGAGUGAUCUUGAUAAUAGGGAAGCAUAUGGGUAUAUGGGGGCUGCGAAUAUAUGGGAAAUCGCUGUAUCUUCAUCUUCAUUUUGUU
Mirounga angustirostris (Northern elephant seal) is the source of this 513-nucleotide long non-coding RNA. RefSeq lists it as uncharacterized. The record is from RefSeq and is a predicted model, not a curated record. The transcript has 3 exons. Lineage: Eukaryota; Metazoa; Chordata; Mammalia; Carnivora; Phocidae.